GGACCUUGGCGGUGGGGGAACUGAGCCCAAGGAAGGGUGUUUCCGUUAUCGCACCCAAGAAGGCCCACAUCGUGCAGCAGCAAACGCUCAAGACGCUGAAAAUGGAAAGCGAAAUGCCCGGAUGUGAUAAAGGCUUGGGAUAAAGGCCAGUGUCCUAGAGAGGCAAGAGUUACCACAGAGAGGAAAUGACCGGGGAGCAUCUGACAGCACGUGGCCUGUAAACUACAUGAAAGGAAGACUACAGCUGUCUUCCGGAUUUAGCAUAGUUCAUAGCUGGCACCCAGUAAAUAGAUGUGAGACAACUCACCAAAAGCAAGAGUAAUAUAUGUUCCCUGUAACUUGUUGGAUUCACACUGUAGAAUUUUGGAUAACUCCAGUACGCUCACUCUCAGGGCAUGAUGGUCCGUUGUUGAUACACUGUAGGACGUUUACAGCUGGUACAUCAGCAAUAUCUCCUUGGUAAUUGACAUGGUAAACAGACAGUCUACUUCAGGAUCAUUUAAGUCGGUUUCUGGCUCUUGCAGUUGAAAGAAUGCUGACUCUGCCCUUAUCAAUCCUUUUUCCGCUUCUCAAAUUUAAUGGUUGAAUUGUGUCCCCACCAAAUUCAUAUGUUGAAGAUCUAACCCCCAGCACCUCAGAAUGUGACAGAAUUUGGAAAUAGGGUCUUUACAGAGUUAAUGGAGUUACAAUGAGGUCAUUAGUGUAGGCCCUGAUACAAUAUGACUGGUGUCUCUACAAAAAGGAAGAAUUUGGAGACAUAUACACAUACAAGGGGGAACGCCCUGUGAAAGUGAAGACACAGAAAAAGAAGACAAUGUGAAGGGACGCAGGGAGAAGACAGCGGUCUGCAAGCCAAGGAGAGAGGCCUGGAACUGGUCCUUCCCUCAUGGCCCUAGGAAGGAGCCGAUCCUGCCAACACCUUGUUUUAAGACUUCCAGCCUCCAGAACCUAAUGUGCAAGAGCAAUUUCUGUUGUUUUAAGCCACCCAAUUUGUAAUACUGUAUUUUGUUACAGCUGCACUAGUAAACUAAUACACUAUAAAAUUCUGCCAUAGUUUUAAGUCUUCACUACCAAUUGAUAAAUGACCCCCUAGUUCUUUCUUUAAAAUCACCUUUUACUGUGACAUUGUACCCCUGCUUUGCUCUUCACAUUUGAUUGGCAGUCCUUUGCUCAGUCUUUUAAUUAAGGUCCUGUGCCUC
This is a non-coding RNA of Kogia breviceps (pygmy sperm whale), 1199 nucleotides long. The record is from RefSeq and is a predicted model, not a curated record. NCBI's taxonomy places the organism in Eukaryota, Metazoa, Chordata, Mammalia, Artiodactyla, Physeteridae.